This 825-nucleotide unclassified non-coding RNA is filed under the name Hevea brasiliensis (rubber tree). Lineage: Eukaryota; Viridiplantae; Streptophyta; Magnoliopsida; Malpighiales; Euphorbiaceae. The record is from RNAcentral.
GGGGGCCAAGGCUCCCACCGGUCUUCCUCUAUGUCCACCCCUGUUCAUGAGAGAAUCAACAUUGACCAAUGAGCAUAACAUUUUUUGUUUUUUUGGAAAUCAAUGAACAUUACUUAAUAACCGUUGAACGCAGAUGCCACUCACAAAUUAGAUAUAAAGUGGCCCUACGACUCUAUAUUACAAAAUUUUAGCACUCUAUGUGCUCCAUUUGCUUGAUUACAAUAGCCAUCUUUUUGCAUGAGACUUAACUACAUAAUAGAGGGCAAAUUGAGAGAAGAUAGAAGUUCAUAUUUUCAUUAUUCACAUAAAAAACCAAGUUACUAUAUGUAUCCUAUUUAUCAAAAAUUACCAUCUCAACCACUAAACUUGAUGUCAUCGAAAAAAUUGAUCAAUCAGCCCAUUGAACAUAAAUUAUUAAGACCCCAAAGAGAAUCAACCUUGCUAAAUCUUUGUAACCGAAUAAGUAGUUCCAAAAAAAAUUUCUUACAGCGUUAUCUCUUAAGGUUUUAAAGGACACAUAGCAACAUGAUUGCAUCAAAAAACUACAAAAAAUUGAAUCACUUUAUUUUUUUUUCAUUUAGACAAACAUAUAGCUUCUUUAUCCAAUUAUUUGCUCACAAUCAUAUUAAUUGUGUGUAUAUGGAAAUUCCAUUUUAAAUAAUCUGCAAAACUCAAUCAAAUACUAGCAAAUUAAAUGCAUAUGAUUCAAGAAACACAUAGCUUUAUAAAGGCAAAGUGUUGUUUUAUGUGCUUUUUCUCAGUCCUUCUUUUGACACUUCUCUCAUUAGGAUUACUGGGUUAAAUAGGUUGGCCUGGUACAUGCUU